Molecule: unclassified non-coding RNA, 330 nt
Filed under: Hevea brasiliensis (rubber tree)
Lineage: Eukaryota; Viridiplantae; Streptophyta; Magnoliopsida; Malpighiales; Euphorbiaceae
Source: RNAcentral
GUCCCACCUGCAGAGUUUGCAAAGGUGAAUCCACUAGAUUGCAAUCUUAGAAUUGUUUGACACUUUAAGAUCUACUUUGUUAAAGAUAACAGAUUAAUAUUUUUUUCCCAACUACUAAACACUUACAAUAAUCUUAUGGGUCUCUUAUUAUGUGAAUUCAAGAAAACCAAUUGUCAUACCAGAACAUUUAUCAAUUGUGCAUAUAUUUACAUUAAAUUAAAUAAUCAAUGAAGAGAAUCCUAUUUGUGUUAUUUUUAUAAUGUAUCAUAUUUUUGUUUAGGUUACUUGUUAUAUAAUUUUAGAAUUCAAUGCUCUCAGUAAAGUUGAAAA